ACUACAAUUUCGCUUUGUGUGUUUAAACAUUUAUUUAGUAAUUUCAGUUGCGAUGUCUGCUCAAAAAUUUGCUUUCUUUUGUGUUCUUUUAAUCGUUGGCACUUGGGGAUUUACCACGGCCGAUUGGUUGGAUGAUUUAAAUGAGGGAACGAGCCGCUUAUUAAGCACUGUAAAUGAAAAUGCUGCCAAAGUGAAUAAUAUUGCCCAGAGUGUUCAUACAAUUGGUCACAUUAUAAGAAAUAUUGAUCCAGAUUCAGAUGAAGAUGAUUAGAAUGUGUUUUAAAUAUGAAUAAUUUUAAUUUUACUUUAAAGAAUAAUAUAAAUAUUAAGUAUAAUAGCUAAUGCUAAUAAAAUUUUGUAAAUAAACUGCUGAAGUUUUCAAAAAA
Long non-coding RNA from Calliphora vicina (urban bluebottle blowfly), 386 nucleotides. RefSeq lists it as uncharacterized. Lineage: Eukaryota; Metazoa; Arthropoda; Insecta; Diptera; Calliphoridae. The record is from RefSeq and is a predicted model, not a curated record. The transcript has 2 exons.